This 252-nucleotide ribosomal RNA is filed under the name uncultured Bacteroidales bacterium. Its description in RNAcentral is "partial 16S ribosomal RNA". It matches the Rfam family "Bacterial small subunit ribosomal RNA", at positions 524 to 776 of the family's 1533-position model. Lineage: Bacteria; Pseudomonadati; Bacteroidota; Bacteroidia; Bacteroidales. The record is from RNAcentral.
UACGUAGGGGGCAAGCGUUAUCCGGAUUUACUGGGUGUAAAGGGUGCGUAGGCGGCGAGUUAAGUCAGCGGUAAAAGCCCGGGGCUCAACCCCGGCCCGCCGUUGAAACUGGCGGGCUGGAGUUGGAGAGAAGUACGCGGAAUGCGCGGUGUAGCGGUGAAAUGCUUAGAUAUCGCGCAGAACUCCGAUUGCGAAGGCAGCGUACCGGCGCCCUACUGACGCUGAGGCACGAAAGCGUGGGUAUCGAACAGG